Molecule: ribosomal RNA, 97 nt
Filed under: Escherichia coli
Lineage: Bacteria; Pseudomonadati; Pseudomonadota; Gammaproteobacteria; Enterobacterales; Enterobacteriaceae
Also listed under: 14 other names
Description: partial 23S ribosomal RNA
Rfam family: Bacterial large subunit ribosomal RNA (bases 1-85)
Source: RNAcentral
AAGACGACGACGUUGAUAGGCCGGGUGUGUAAGCGCAGCGAUGCGUUGAGCUAACCGGUACUAAUGAACCGUGAGGCUUAACCUUACAACGCCGAAG